AGCGAACGCUGGCGGCAGGCCUAACACAUGCAAGUCGAACGAACCUUUCGGGGUUAGUGGCGGACGGGGGUGUAACACGUGGGAACGUGCCUUUAGGUUCGGAAUAACUCAGGGAAACUUGUGCUAAUACCGAAUGUGCCCUUCUGGGGGAAGAUUAAUCGCCUUUAGAGCGGCCCGCGUCUGAUUAGCUAGUUGGUUGAGGUAAUGGCUCACCAAGGCGACGAUCAGUAGCUGGUAUGAGAGGAUGAUCCGCCACAUUGGGACGGAGACACGGCACAAACUCCUACGGGAGGCGGCAGUGGGGAAUCUUGCGCAAUGGGCGAAAGCCUGACGCUGCCAUGCCGCGUGAAUGAUGAAGGUCUUAGGAAUGUAAAAUGCUUUCACCGGGGACGAUAAUGACGGUACCCGGAGAAGAAGCCCCGGCUAACUUCGUG
This 434-nucleotide ribosomal RNA is filed under the name uncultured bacterium. RNAcentral describes it as "partial 16S ribosomal RNA". It matches the Rfam family "Bacterial small subunit ribosomal RNA", at positions 29 to 507 of the family's 1533-position model. The record is from RNAcentral.